This 733-nucleotide ribosomal RNA is filed under the name uncultured Eubacteriales bacterium. RNAcentral describes it as "bacterial SSU rRNA". It matches the Rfam family "Bacterial small subunit ribosomal RNA", at positions 77 to 829 of the family's 1533-position model. The record is from RNAcentral. Lineage: Bacteria; Bacillati; Bacillota; Clostridia; Eubacteriales.
GGAAGAUUACUAAUGAGAGUGGCGAACGGGUGAGUAACGCGUGAGCAACCUGCCUAUGACAGUGGGAUAGCCUCGGGAAACCGGGAUUAAUACCGCAUAAAAUCGUAGAAACACAUGUUUCAACGGUCAAAGAUUUAUCGGUCAUAGAUGGGCUCGCGUCUGAUUAGCUAGUUGGUGAGAUAACAGCCCACCAAGGCGACGAUCAGUAGCCGGUCUGAGAGGAUGAACGGCCACAUUGGAACUGAGACACGGUCCAAACUCCUACGGGAGGCAGCAGUGGGGAAUAUUGCACAAUGGGGGAAACCCUGAUGCAGCGACGCCGCGUGAACGAAGAAGGUAUUCGUAUCGUAAAGUUCUGUCCUAUGGGAAGAUAAUGACAGUACCAUAGAAGAAAGCUCCGGCUAAAUACGUGCCAGCAGCCGCGGUAAUACGUAUGGAGCGAGCGUUGUCCGGAAUUAUUGGGCGUAAAGGGUACGCAGGCGGUUUAAUAAGUCGAAUGUUAAAGAUCGGGGCUCAACCCCGUAAAGCAUUGGAAACUGAUAAACUUGAGUAGUGGAGAGGAAAGUGGAAUUCCUAGUGUAGUGGUGAAAUACGUAGAUAUUAGGAAGAAUACCGGUGGCGAAGGCGACUUGCUGGACACAAACUGACGCUGAGGAACGAAAGCGUGGGUAGCAAACAGGAUUAGAUACCCUGGUAGUCCACGCCGUAAACGAUGAGUGCUAGGUGUCGGGGG